UUUUAACUACUUCUUCUGGUCCGCUCUGCACAGCUGUCACCGAAAAACAGAAGCACAAUGAGGGGAGAGUGGGGUCAUGGCACCGGGAGAAUAGGGUAAGGUGGGGCUGCAAGGGUAGGCUAGGACAGGGUUAGUUGGGCUGGUGAGGUAGGCUAGGACAGGGUUAGUUGGGCUGGUGAGGUAGGCUAGGAGGGGUUAAGUUGGGCUGGUGAGGAGGGGGUAAGUUGGGCUGGUAGUGUAGGUGAGGAGGGGGUAAGUUGGGCUGGUAGUGUAGGUGAGGAGGGGUUAAGUUGGGCUGGUGAGGAGGGGGUUAAGUUGGGCUGGUAGGGUAGGUGAGGAGGGGUAAGUUGGGCUGGUGAGAAGGGGGUAAGUUGGGCUGGUGAGGAGGGAAUCAGUUGGGCUGGUAGGGUAGGUGAGGAGGGGGUAAGUUGGGCUGGUGAGGGGGGUAAGUUGGGCUGGUGAGGUAGGUGAGGAGGGGGUAGUUGGGCUGGUGAGGUAGGUGAGGAGGGGGUAGUUGGGCUGGUGAGGAGGGAAUCAGUUGGGCUGGUAGGGUAGGUGAGGAGGGGGUAGUUGGGCUGGUGAGGAGGGAAUCAGUUGGGCUGGUAGGGUAGGUGAGGAGGGGGUAGUUGGGCUGGUGAG
Molecule: long non-coding RNA, 639 nt
Organism: Oncorhynchus tshawytscha (Chinook salmon)
Lineage: Eukaryota; Metazoa; Chordata; Actinopteri; Salmoniformes; Salmonidae
Source: Ensembl